UAAUACAGAGGCCACGAGCGUUAGUCGGAAUCACUGGGCUUAAAGGGUGCGUAGGCGGGUGUGUAAGCGUUCCGUGAAAUCCCGGAGCUCAACUCCGGAACAGCGGGGCGAACUGCACAUCUUGAGGCAUGUAGGGGCGGGCGGAACAGUAGGUGGAGCGGUGAAAUGCGUAGAUAUCUACUGGAACGCCGAUGGUGAAGACGGCCCGCUGGGCAUGUCCUGACGCUGAGGCACGAAAGCGUGGGGAGCAAACAGGAUUAGAUACCCUGGUAGUCCACGCCGUAAACGAUGCGCACUAGACCGGUGCGGUUUUGACGCCGUAUCGGUCGGAGUAAAAACGAUAAGUGCGCCGCCUGGGGAGUACGGUCGCAAGGCUA
This 377-nucleotide ribosomal RNA is filed under the name uncultured bacterium. RNAcentral describes it as "bacterial SSU rRNA". It matches the Rfam family "Bacterial small subunit ribosomal RNA", at positions 521 to 896 of the family's 1533-position model. The record is from RNAcentral.